CUUGAAGCACUGUGAGAAACUUGUAGUGCUGACUGGAAGGGCUUAGGAGGAUAACCCCUAUCAUAUAAAUCUCUACCUCUAGACGAGGCACCACUGAAUCUUCCUUACUGACGGGGUAUCUUUUCGGCCCUGUGACCACUCCCCUAUGAUAAUACCAUCUCAACCCUACGGGACAAAUUGGCUACCUACUGGAAAGAUAUCUCACUCCCGGCCUCUCUAACCAUCUGG
Molecule: long non-coding RNA, 228 nt
Filed under: Nicotiana benthamiana
Lineage: Eukaryota; Viridiplantae; Streptophyta; Magnoliopsida; Solanales; Solanaceae
Description: long non-coding RNA (NBEN_LNC021822)
Source: RNAcentral